CUACGAAGGGGGCUAGCGUUGUUCGGAAUUACUGGGCGUAAAGCGCGCGUAGGCGGACUGAUCAGUUGGGGGUGAAAUCCCAGGGCUUAACCCUGGAACUGCCUCCAAUACUGUCAGUCUUGAGUUCGGGAGAGGUGAGUGGAAUUCCUAGUGUAGAGGUGAAAUCCGUAGAUAUUAGGAAGAACACCAGUGGCGAAGGCGGCUCACUGGCCCGAUACUGACGCUGAGGCGCGAAAGCGUGGGGAGCAAACAGGAUUAGAUACCCUAGUAGUCC
RNAcentral lists this ribosomal RNA (274 nucleotides) under uncultured bacterium. RNAcentral describes it as "partial 16S ribosomal RNA". It matches the Rfam family "Bacterial small subunit ribosomal RNA", at positions 523 to 796 of the family's 1533-position model. The record is from RNAcentral.